RNAcentral lists this unclassified non-coding RNA (398 nucleotides) under Coriandrum sativum (coriander). Its description in RNAcentral is "partial external transcribed spacer". Lineage: Eukaryota; Viridiplantae; Streptophyta; Magnoliopsida; Apiales; Apiaceae. The record is from RNAcentral.
CGCAUGAGCAACAGGACGGAUACAGUCCUAGAGUCAACACGGGACACGUCAGGCUUCCGUAAGGGACAAUUGAUUCAGGCAACAAGGGGUCAAGGACCUCGAUCGAUCAUGCUUCUACAUACAGGACUUCGAGCAACAAUUGGGCGUUCGACGCUUGCAAGCUAAAUAGGCAAAGCAAGGCGGACGUCCAGUGGAGCUUCAGGGUCUAGUUCGCACAUAUCAUUAUGGCACGAGAUAGAAGAGGUACCGUGGGACUAGGGAAUUCCGUCAAAAUAGGUAUGCUACACAGGGGGCCAAGCCAAUCCAAGGCAAAUUAUUUAGCACUCGGACAGAAUUGAACAGGUGUGAACCAGCGAUUGUCGCUGCCAAGGCAGGGAACCAACCAACCGGAACAUACC